CCAGCUUGGCGUUGGUUGUCCAAGUUUAAGGUGGUAGGCUGAAAUCUUAGGUAAAUCCGGGGUUUCAAUGCCGAGAGCUGAUGACGAGUCGUCUUUUAGAUGACGAAGUGGUUGAUGCCAUGCUUCAAGAAAAGCUCAAGCUNCAGGUAACCAGGAACCGUACCCCAAACCGACACAGGUGGUCGGGUAGAGAAUACCAAGGCGCUUGAGAGAACUCGGGUGAAGGAACUAGGCAAAUGGCACCGUAACUCGGGAGAAGGUGCGCCGCUAGUGAAGGAUUUACUCCGUAAGCUCUGGCUGGUCGAAGAUACCAGGCCGCUGCGACUGUUUANAAAAACACAGCACNNCCAAACACGAAAGUGGACGUAUAGGGUGACGCCUGCCCAGUGCCGGAAGUUAAUUGAUGGGGUUAGCGCAAGCAGCUCUUGAUCGAAGCCCGUAAACGGCGGCCGUAACGAUAACGGUCCAAGGUGAAAUUCCUUGUCGGGUAAGUUCCGACCUGCACGAAUGGCGUAACGAUGGCGGCGCUGUCUCCACCCGAGACUCAGUGAGNNUGAAAUCGCUGUGAAGAUGCAGUGUAUCCGCGGCUAGACGGAAAGACCCCGUGAACCUUUACUGUGGCUUUGCACUGGACUUUGAGCCUGCUUGUGUAGGAUAGGUGGGAGGCUUUAGCGUGGACGCCAGUUCGCGUGGAGCCAUCCUUGAAACNCACCCUGGCAUGCUUGAAGUUCUAACUCUGGUCCGUAAUCCGGAUCGAGGACAGUGUAUGGUGGGCAGUNUGANUAGGCGGUCUCCUCUAAAGAGUAACAGAGUACGAAGGUGCGCUCAGACCGGUCGGAAAUCGNNNGCAGAGUAUAGCAAANNGCGCUUGACUGCGAGACAGACACGUCGAGCAGUACNAAAGUAGGUCUUAGUGAUCCGGUGGUUCUGUAUGGAAGGGCCAUCGCUCAACGGAUAAAAGGUACUCCGGGGAUAACAGGCUGAUACCGCCCAAGAGUUCAUAUCGACGGCGGUGUUUGGCACCUCGAUGUCGGCUCAUCACAUCCUGGGGCUGAAGCCGGUCCCAGGGUAUGGCUGUUCGCCAUUUAAAGUGGUACGCGAGCUGGGGUUUAGAACGUCGUGAGACAGUUCGGUCCCUAUCUGCCGUGGACGUUUGAGAUUUGAGAGGGCUGCUCCUAGUACGAGGAAGGACCGGAGUGGACGAACCUCUGGUGUUCCGGUUGUCACGCCAGUGGCAUUGCCGGGUAUGUUCGGAAAAGAUAACCGCUGAAAGCAUCUAAGCGGGAAACUUGCCUCAAGAUGAGAUCUCACUGGGAACUUGAUUCCCUGAAGGGCCGUCGAAGACUACGACGUUGAUAGGGCUGGGUGUGUAAGCGUUGUGAGGCGUUGAGCUAACCAGUACUAAUUGCCC
RNAcentral lists this ribosomal RNA (1411 nucleotides) under metagenome. RNAcentral's name for it is "bacterial LSU rRNA". It matches the Rfam family "Bacterial large subunit ribosomal RNA", at positions 1487 to 2910 of the family's 2925-position model. The record is from RNAcentral.